GAUGAACGCUGGCGGCGUGCCUAAUACAUGCAAGUAGAACGCUGAAGGAGGAGCUUGCUCUUCUGGAUGAGUUGCGAACGGGUGAGUAACGCGUAGGUAACCUGCCUGGUAGCGGGGGAUAACUAUUGGAAACGAUAGCUAAUACCGCAUGACAACAGUUAUUGCAUGAUAACUGUUUAAAAGGGGCAACUGCUCCACUACCAGAUGGACCUGCGUUGUAUUAGCUAGUUGGUGAGGUAACGGCUCACCAAGGCGACGAUACAUCGCCGACCUGAGAGGGUGAUCGGCCACACUGAGACGGAGACACGGCCCAGACUCCUACGGGAGGCAGCAGUAGGGAAUCUUCGGCAAUGGACGGAAGUCUGACCGAGCAACGCCGCGGGAGUGAAGAAGGUUUUCGGAUCGUAAAGCUCUGUUGUAAGAGAAGAACGAGUGUGAGAGUGGAAAGUUCACACUGUGACGGUAUCUUACCAGAAAGGGACGGCUAACUACGUG
This 495-nucleotide ribosomal RNA is filed under the name uncultured bacterium. RNAcentral's name for it is "partial 16S ribosomal RNA". It matches the Rfam family "Bacterial small subunit ribosomal RNA", at positions 28 to 507 of the family's 1533-position model. The record is from RNAcentral.